CAAAAACAACAACAAUAACAAAAAACUAUCAAGAAGACCUGGUCUUUACCUCCAGGAAUAUUUGGAAGGACAUUAGAAGGUGACUUCGGUGUAACGAUAAAGUUUAAAGUUACUCCAUUUGUGACAUGGUUAUUACAUAUUCAAGUCACGGAAACAGCCUCUUUACAAAGCAGGGUAACACUGCAUAUAUCAACCCUCCUCAGAGCCCAUAAGUGUG
This 217-nucleotide unclassified non-coding RNA is filed under the name Hevea brasiliensis (rubber tree). The record is from RNAcentral. Lineage: Eukaryota; Viridiplantae; Streptophyta; Magnoliopsida; Malpighiales; Euphorbiaceae.